UACGGAGGGUGCGAGCGUUAUCCGGAAUUACUGGGUUUAAAGGGUGCGUAGGCGGCUAAGUAAGUCAGGAGUGAAAGUUUGCGGCUCAACCGUAAAACUGCUUUUGAUACUGCAUAGCUAGAAUUAGGAUGAGGUCAGCGGAAUGUGGCAUGUAGCGGUGAAAUGCAUAGAUAUGCCAUAGAACACCAAUUGCGAAGGCAGCUGGCUAGACCUGGAUUGACGCUGAGGCACGAAAGCGUGGGGAGCGAACAGG
RNAcentral lists this ribosomal RNA (253 nucleotides) under uncultured bacterium. Its description in RNAcentral is "partial 16S ribosomal RNA". It matches the Rfam family "Bacterial small subunit ribosomal RNA", at positions 524 to 776 of the family's 1533-position model. The record is from RNAcentral.